UCCUACAUUUGCCAAGGUAAUCUUCCCAAUA
RNAcentral lists this non-coding RNA (31 nucleotides) under Homo sapiens (human). The record is from RNAcentral. Lineage: Eukaryota; Metazoa; Chordata; Mammalia; Primates; Hominidae.